UGCGUAGGUGGUUUCUUAAGUCAGGAGUGAAAGGCUACGGCUCAACCGUAGUAAGCUCUUGAAACUGGGAAACCUGAGUGCAGGAGAGGAAAGUGGAAUUCCUAGUGUAGCGGUGAAAUGCGUAGAUAUAGGAAGGAACACCAGUGGCGAAGGCGACCACCUGGACUGAUACUGACACUGAGGUGCGAAAGCGUGGGGAGCAAACA
Molecule: ribosomal RNA, 206 nt
Filed under: uncultured bacterium
Lineage: Bacteria
Description: partial 16S ribosomal RNA
Rfam family: Bacterial small subunit ribosomal RNA
Source: RNAcentral